Schistosoma mansoni is the source of this 45-nucleotide non-coding RNA. The record is from Rfam. NCBI's taxonomy places the organism in Eukaryota, Metazoa, Platyhelminthes, Trematoda, Strigeidida, Schistosomatidae.
AUCCAGCUGACGAGUCACAAAUAGGGUGAAACACGCGUCCUGGAU